Molecule: long non-coding RNA, 2333 nt
Organism: Scophthalmus maximus (turbot)
Lineage: Eukaryota; Metazoa; Chordata; Actinopteri; Pleuronectiformes; Scophthalmidae
Exons: 3
Source: RefSeq, a predicted model, not a curated record
GAAGAGGGCGACGAGGGUGACGAGGGUGAAGAGGGUGAAGAGGGUGACGAGGGUGAAGAGGGUGACGAGGGUGAAGAGGGUGACGAGGGUGACGAGGGUGAAGAGGGUGAAGAGGGCGACGAGGGAGCUGAGUCUCAAGCGAAGGGUCUACGUUCUGACCCUCACGUCAUGAGCUCUUCUCCGUACGGUGGCUGCGCUCAGACACUCUGCUUACCCUCUUUGUCCCGACCUCAGAUGAUGGAAGAAGAUUGUAAUUCAUGUUCUUUUCUUCAUCCAUGUUUGUCCUUCUAAUGCAAAAGUCAUAUUGUAUAAUAAUGGGGAGACGUUGAUAACACAUUGCCCGUCUCUGUGCGAAUGCUCUGUAAAAACGAAUGGUUGUGGUUCUGUUUGUUGGCUGCAUGAUGAGUCUUCUCGUGUGAACUCUAUAUUUUAUUAUCAGUCAUAUUAAUGACACGGCAGCAAGUUACAUGAGCUGGUGAGUUACAACCUUUUCUAUAUUUUUGUGUUGUUGGUGUAAAAUAAAGAAAUUAAAAAAGGUAUCUUAUUGUUCACAUCACACAUCCAUUUCUGUCGACUGGAUGUUAAACCGUCCGCGUUCCUCAAAAUCUUCUUGCACUUGGUUUCACACAGUGAGACGUUGGACAGCUUCACAUGUAGCCGCCCGCUAACGGUCACUUCCUCUUAUUCUCAUAGACGAGUUGCACAGGACUUGUUUGUGAUCAGAAUGGAUGCUACAGUAAUGGAAUAAAUGGUAAAUGGACUGUAUUUAUAAAGAUCUUUUCUAGUCAUAUAGACUCAAAUCGCUUUACAGGAAAGUCACAUUCAGACACAUUCACACUGUUGGAAGAGCUGUCAGAGGCGAUUUAGUGUUAAAUGUCUUGCCCAAGGACACAACGGCAGGUGGACUGGGGAAAGCUGGUAUCGAACCACCAACCCGAUGGUUGGUGGACGAGCGACUCAACCUCCUGAGCCACAGCCUGCAUGCUAACUUCAGUAGAAGCAAAGAAGUGGUCGAAGUGGGUGUGGCUACUGAGUCCAGGGUGAGUCCAGUGUGAGGCUACUGAGUCCAUCUUCUGUAUCGACUGAGUGGCCGAUACAGAAGAUGGUCGCAGGUCACGUGACCUAUGAGAGCGUCAGCUCUUUCUUAUCUCAGGCCUCAUCUGUACAGUUGCUCCCCUGCGGUGCACUUCCUCAUGUACCAGGUGUUGGGACACGCCCACUCACGAUCACACACAGAUAAAGUGACGGAUACGUUUGGAGCAUUUUGAUUGGCUGUCAGUCUCGUGGCUCUGGGAUAAAAAGACUGGUCGCUGCCAAAGGGCAAACGAGAACAAGACUCAUCAUCCUCAUCAGAUACGGAUCCUCUCCAGACCAACACGACAAGAGAAAAUGAACGUGGUUCUUCUGACUGUCGUCGCCGUCGUCACUGUGGCCGCUCACUCCAACAAGCCCUGUAGUGAAGACAAAGAUAAUGUGGUGUAUGAUGACUUUCUCAACAGACACAUCUUCACAGGAAACAUCGAAUCUACGAAUGUGACACAAUGGCAAUCAUAUUUAGAUGGAAAACAGCUCACUGGCGACAUUUACAGACGCACACAGUCCUUCAUCCAUGAGGAUAAGAUGGACGCCGUUCUGAAGAUCUGCCAAUCCGGCCUGCAAGUGAACAACAGCAACUUGUGCAUCAGCGAGGGACAAAUGAAUGUUUUUGAAGUCCAGUUAGAUAAAAACGCCAAGAGGGUCCAGUCAGUACAAAGAACGUGAUUGUGGCCUGUGACAAUGUGGAUAAUCAAUGCCGCCCAGUCCAUUUUGAGGCAAGGAAACACAAACCAAUGCAGCCCCACACAACAUGCCAGCCUAAGCCUUGGUGGUUACAGCUCUGACCUGGUGCAGGUGGAGGUUUGAUUCCAGGUGGUCCCUGUGUGGGCCCCUGGACAAGGCCCUUAGAGCUACUGUCCCUGCCUCCUCGACUGCAGGUCAGCAGAGUGAACGUAACGCAUCCAUUCAUCUUUCUAUCGCGCUUAGCUAAACAACAUGUGCUUGUUAAUGUGAAUAAAGGUCUGUUGCUGUGAAGGUGCUGGACGGUUUGUGUACGCUGGAUUAACAGCAGAAAACCGCUGCACCAUUCAAUAUCAGAUCAGCUCAAUUUGCUCUGCAGCAUCUUUUAAUAUUCCAGUUUGGUCCCCGCUCGCUUUUCUCCACAACAUUUUCAACUCAUAUUUCCUCUGUGUGUUCUGACUCACUGUGAAAUGUAUCUGGACCCGGACGAGUGUGAAGAGGAAGUGCAUGUGUCUGUCAUCUAAUGUCAACGCGCAAUAAAAUCUUACAGCAUGUCA